RNAcentral lists this ribosomal RNA (497 nucleotides) under uncultured bacterium. RNAcentral describes it as "partial 16S ribosomal RNA". It matches the Rfam family "Bacterial small subunit ribosomal RNA", at positions 28 to 507 of the family's 1533-position model. The record is from RNAcentral.
GAUGAACGCUGGCGGCGUGCCUAAUACAUGCAAGUCGAGCGAACGGACGAGAAGCUUGCUUCUCUGAUGUUAGCGGCGGACGGGUGAGUAACACGUGGAUAACCUACCUAUAAGACUGGGAUAACUUCGGGAAACCGGAGCUAAUACCGGAUAAUAUUUUGAACCGCAUGGUUCAAAAGUGAAAGACGGUCUUGCUGUCACUUAUAGAUGGAUCCGCGCUGCAUUAGCUAGUUGGUAAGGUAACGGCUUACCAAGGCAACGAUGCAUAGCCGACCUGAGAGGGUGAUCGGCCACACUGGAACUGAGACACGGUCCAGACUCCUACGGGAGGCAGCAGUAGGGAAUCUUCCGCAAUGGACGAAAGCCUGACGGAGCAACGCCGCGUGAGUGAUGAAGGUCUUCGGAUCGUAAAACUCUGUUAUUAGGGAAGAACAUAUGUGUAAGUAACUGUGCACAUCUUGACGGUACCUAAUCAGAAAGCCACGGCUAACUACGUA